ACGAACGCUGGCGGCGUGCUUAACACAUGCAAGUCGAACGGUGAAGCGCCUUCCUUUUUGGUGGGUGUGGAUGAGUGGCGAACGGGUGAGUAACACGUGAGUAACCUGCCCCCUUCUUCUGGAUAACCGCAUGAAAGUGUGGCUAAUACGGGAUAUUCUGGGUCUGUCGCAUGAUGGGUCUGGGAAAGAUAUUGUUUCGGUGGGGGAUGGGCUCGCGGCCUAUCAGCUUGUUGGUGGGGUGAUGGCCUACCAAGGCGGUGACGGGUAGCCGGCCUGAGAGGGUGGACGGUCACACUGGGACUGAGACACGGCCCAGACUCCUACGGGAGGCAGCAGUGGGGAAUAUGGCACAAUGGGCGCAAGCCUGAUGCAGCGACGCCGCGUGAGGGAUGGAGGCCUUCGGGUUGUGAACCUCUUUCGCCAGUGAAGCAGGCCUGCCUCGUUUGUGGGUGGGUUGACGGUAGCUGGAUAAGAAGCGCCGGCUAACUACGUG
This 493-nucleotide ribosomal RNA is filed under the name uncultured bacterium. RNAcentral's name for it is "partial 16S ribosomal RNA". It matches the Rfam family "Bacterial small subunit ribosomal RNA", at positions 29 to 507 of the family's 1533-position model. The record is from RNAcentral.